This 509-nucleotide ribosomal RNA is filed under the name Termitomyces sp. symbiont of Odontotermes silvicolus. Its description in RNAcentral is "eukaryotic LSU rRNA". It matches the Rfam family "Eukaryotic large subunit ribosomal RNA", at positions 75 to 583 of the family's 3401-position model. The record is from RNAcentral. Lineage: Eukaryota; Fungi; Basidiomycota; Agaricomycetes; Agaricales; Lyophyllaceae.
UUCCCCUAGUAACUGCGAGUGAAGCGGGAAAAGCUCAAAUUUAAAAUCUGGUAGUCUUUGGCUGCCCGAGUUGUAAUCUAGAGAAGCAUUAUCUGCUCUGGACUGUGUAUAAGUAUCCUGGAAUGGAUCAUCAUAGAGGGUGAGAAUCCCGUCUUUGACACAGACUCCCAGUGCUUUGUGAUGUGCUCUCAAAGAGUCGAGUUGUUUGGGAAUGCAGCUCUAAAUGGGUGGUAAAUUCCAUCUAAAGCUAAAUAUUGGCGAGAGACCGAUAGCGAACAAGUACCGUGAGGGAAAGAUGAAAAGAACUUUGGAAAGAGAGUUAAACAGUACGUGAAAUUGCUGAAAGGGAAACGCUUGAAGUCAGUCGCGUUGGCUGGGGAUCAACCUUGCUUUUUGCUUGGCUUACUUCCCAGUUGACGGGUCAGCAUCAGUUUUGACCGGUGGAUAAAGGCUAGGGGAAUGUGGCACCUCCGGGUGUGUUAUAGCCCUUGGUCAUAUACAUCGGUUGG